GGAAGCUAUGGCAUGCAUAACCAUGGUUUGACAAGCCCAGCAAAGACAGACAGGGUCCUGCCCUCAAGGCUGCCUGGGGCAGCUUCAGGACCUGGACCCUUGUUUACAAAUCAGAAGCACCCCUGGGAGAAGAUGAGGACAUGGACACGACCAGGACUCAGGGGCUGGGCCAGAGUCAGAGGUGGCUGUCUUGCAAAAGGCCCAGGAUUCCCCGUGGAUGUUCCAGGUCUGCUGACUCUCCAGCCUUAUGUUCUCCGCCGGCUAGACUUCAGAUGACAGCCCCUGUGAGCGGUCCCUGGAGCUCGAGUUCCCAACCGCAGGCAGCACGGGGAGUGGGCUGUGUGUGGUGCCCUUCAGCCUGGGUUCUCACAGCUGUUUGCAUCAACAGUGCUUUUCCUUCAAGGUCCCGGCCAGGCAGCUUAGAGAGCCGCAGGGAUGCUUCCAGUGACCGCUCACCUCGCACCUGAAGGGCCCAGGCCUGGGAGUUUUCACGGAUUUGGGUUCAGAUCCCUUCUCCUCUCUGACCAGCUCUGAGCACCUGGGCGAGCUACCCAUCCUCUGAUCUGGAGUACCUGCAGCUUCCAGAUGGGGACAGGGCUGGGAGUUCCGGUUCAUCGUGUUCAGAACACACGGGGUUUCUCCGACCCAGCCUGCUCCACCGCAGACCCGAGAGCUUCCACAGUGAGGACCUGAUGCCCAGCAGGGACACAGCACUCUGCCCUGCCCCGUGAUGCUAGCACUCCAGGACACAGUAUCCUCAGCCACCAGGAGUACCCGCCACCCAGAAUGGGCCUCUCCACCAGGAGACAUCCAGAAGAGGGGUGUGGCCCAGCCCCAGGCCUGGGGGUCCCUGUGCCACCGGAGCAGAGGAUGGUCACCCUGGAGUAGUUCCUGGAGGAGCAUGACCAGGCUCCCCCUACUCUGAUUGUGGCCCAGGAUCACUCUUUCCUCACUCUCCCCUCAGAUGGACCUGGACCAGAGGGGAGACCUGGACAGCAAAGUCACAGAAAGGGAUGGGGUGGGGCUGGCAACCUGACUGCAGAGCUGGCUGGAUGGGGACAUAACCACUAGCCAGAAAGUGACUGUACUGGGGGCCCGCCCAGACCUGGGAGGCUGUUCACUCUAUCUGUGCAGGGAGCGGCAGAAAUGCCAACAUGGACGGUUAAACCAUGCAGUGUCUGUUGCAGUGACUCUAUGCUGCCGCUGGGCAGGAGGUAGUCCUAGGCCAUCUGUCAAUAAACAGGCAAGGCUGUGCUCCAAUGA
Molecule: long non-coding RNA, 1263 nt
Organism: Eptesicus fuscus (big brown bat)
Lineage: Eukaryota; Metazoa; Chordata; Mammalia; Chiroptera; Vespertilionidae
Exons: 5
Source: RefSeq, a predicted model, not a curated record